RNAcentral lists this ribosomal RNA (253 nucleotides) under uncultured bacterium. Its description in RNAcentral is "partial 16S ribosomal RNA". It matches the Rfam family "Bacterial small subunit ribosomal RNA", at positions 524 to 776 of the family's 1533-position model. The record is from RNAcentral.
UACAGAGGUCUCAAGCGUUGUUCGGAUUCAUUGGGCGUAAAGGGCGUGUAGGCGGCGCCGUAAGUCGGGUGUGAAAUUUCGGAGCUUAACUCCGAAACUGCAUUCGAUACUGCGGUGCUUGAGGACUGGAGAGGAGACUGGAAUUCAUGGUGUAGCAGUGAAAUGCGUAGAGAUCAUGAGGAAGACCAGUGGCGAAGGCGGGUCUCUGGACAGUUCCUGACACUGAGACACGAAGGCCAGGGGAGCAAACGGG